RNAcentral lists this ribosomal RNA (291 nucleotides) under uncultured bacterium. Its description in RNAcentral is "partial 16S ribosomal RNA". It matches the Rfam family "Bacterial small subunit ribosomal RNA", at positions 29 to 332 of the family's 1533-position model. The record is from RNAcentral.
AACGAACGCUGGCGGCAGGCCUAACACAUGCAAGUCGAACGGGUGUAGCAAUACAUCAGUGGCAGACGGGUGAGUAACGCGUGGGAAUCUCCCCAGAGGUACGGGAACAAACUCAGGGAAAACGUUAGUAGCUAAUAACCGUAUGUGCCCGACGGGGGCGAAAGAUUUAUUCGCCUCUGGAUGAGCCCGCGUUGGAUUAGCUAGUUGGUGGGGUAAGUGGCCUACCAAGGCGUACGAUCCAUAGCNGAUCUGAGAGGAUGAUCAGCCACACUGGGACGUGAGACACGGCCC